GCUGCUUUGUUGAGCCGUCACAC
RNAcentral lists this non-coding RNA (23 nucleotides) under Arabidopsis thaliana (thale cress). Lineage: Eukaryota; Viridiplantae; Streptophyta; Magnoliopsida; Brassicales; Brassicaceae. The record is from RNAcentral.